UUGGAUAACUGUGGUAAUUCUAGAGCUAAUACAUGCACUUCGGCUCCGACCCUUUCCCAAGGGGAAGAGCGCAUUUAUCAGCUUCGAAGCCAGCCGGGUCGCAAGGCCCGUCCACCUUUGGUGACUCUGGAUAACUGUUGCGGAUCGCACGGCCCCGAGCCGGCGACGCGUCCAUCAAAUGUCUGCCCUAUCAGACUGUCGAUGGUAAGUGCUAUGCUUACCAUGGUGAUAACGGGUAACGGGGAAUCAGGGUUCGAUUCCGGAAUCGAACCCUGAU
RNAcentral lists this ribosomal RNA (277 nucleotides) under Megathura crenulata. Its description in RNAcentral is "partial 18S ribosomal RNA". It matches the Rfam family "Eukaryotic small subunit ribosomal RNA", at positions 139 to 387 of the family's 1831-position model. The record is from RNAcentral. Lineage: Eukaryota; Metazoa; Mollusca; Gastropoda; Lepetellida; Fissurellidae.